This 251-nucleotide ribosomal RNA is filed under the name uncultured bacterium. RNAcentral's name for it is "partial 16S ribosomal RNA". It matches the Rfam family "Bacterial small subunit ribosomal RNA", at positions 527 to 779 of the family's 1533-position model. The record is from RNAcentral.
CGGAGGUCCGAGCGUUAAUCGGAAUUACUGGGCGUAAAGCGUGCGCAGGCGGUUUGUUAAGCGAGAUGUGAAAGCCCUGGGCUCAACCUAGGAAUAGCAUUUCGAACUGGCGAACUAGAGUCUUGUAGAGGGGUAGGAAUUCCAGGUGUAGCGGUGAAAUGCGUAGAGAUCUGGAGGAAUACCGGUGGCGAAGGCGGCCCCCUGGACAAAGACUGACGCUCAUGCACGAAAGCGUGGGAGCAAACAGGAUU